ACAUUUUAUAGAAAAACAUUAAUAUGACGUGUUGCAAACUUUCAUAAUUUACUCAUGUACAAGUUGUCAAGAGUCUUGACUCAAGAAAUAAUUUUAUUACUUUAUGAUAUCAAAUAAAAAAUACCUGAAAUUAUUAACAGCUGACUUAGAGCGGAACAUUAAGAUAAAGCACAGAGCUAUAUACAAUCAACUUCAUAUAAUAUCCAUAAGCAGUAAACUCCUCGAAUGCCCUCACGUCCAUUAUUUAAACUUCCAAAAUAAAACUUAUAAAAUGGAUACAUUUAAUCGUUAUACUGUAUCACCAAGUUUAAUUGACGGUAACUUACUAUAGCCUAUAAGUACCCUUAGCUAUUAUUAUUUUGGUUUUUUAAAUAUUAAAUAUUGUUUAAAUUAAAAAAGUGUAUGUAAUAUAUUUUGUGAAACUAACCACCAUAAAUCAAGUUUAUUUUGUGGAUCUUACAGCUGUUAAAUAUUUAAUUUAUUAACUGUAAUUAAUACAUCCAUCAAUAAAGCAUAUAA
Aphis gossypii (cotton aphid) is the source of this 519-nucleotide long non-coding RNA. RefSeq lists it as uncharacterized. The record is from RefSeq and is a predicted model, not a curated record. Lineage: Eukaryota; Metazoa; Arthropoda; Insecta; Hemiptera; Aphididae. The transcript has 2 exons.